Molecule: ribosomal RNA, 528 nt
Filed under: Chloroflexus sp.
Lineage: Bacteria; Bacillati; Chloroflexota; Chloroflexia; Chloroflexales; Chloroflexaceae
Description: partial 23S ribosomal RNA
Rfam family: Bacterial large subunit ribosomal RNA
Source: RNAcentral
GGAAGACAUGAUGAGCACACGAUGGAUGCCAUGGCGCUGCGUGCCGAGGAAGGACGGGGCACGGCACCGAUAUGCUCCGGGGAGCCGCGUGCAGGCUGUGAUCCGGAGGUCUCCGAAUGGGGCAACCCGCUGCCAUCUGGCAGCGCUCCGCAUGCGCGGAGCGGGAACCCGGCCAACUGAAACAUCUCAGUAGCCGGAGGAAGAGUGAACGACACCCGUAGUAGCGGCGAGCGAACCGGGUGAGGCCUAAACCGUGCGCGUGCCAAGGGAGCAGCCGUUGCGCGCACGGGGUUGGAGGACGACCCACGCCCAUCCUGCUCGAUGGGCCUCACGCGACCGCGUUCAGCAGAAGCAGUGUGGAACCCUGCACCAGAGAGCGUGAGAGUCGCGUAUGCGUGCGCCUCAGCGUGAGGGGUCGUUCCUGAGUAGGUCCGGGCACGAAGAACCCGGGCUGAAGCCGGGCAGACCACUGUCCAAGGCAAGCUACACGCAGUGACCGAUAGCGCACAGUACCGUGAGGGAACGGUG